RNAcentral lists this ribosomal RNA (473 nucleotides) under uncultured delta proteobacterium. RNAcentral describes it as "bacterial SSU rRNA". It matches the Rfam family "Bacterial small subunit ribosomal RNA", at positions 400 to 863 of the family's 1533-position model. Lineage: Bacteria; Deltaproteobacteria. The record is from RNAcentral.
UGUGAGUGAUGAAGGUUUUCGGAUCGUAAAGCUCUGUCGGGUGGAAAGAAUAAAGGCUGUGUAAAUAAUGCAGUCUGAUGACGGUACCACCAAAGGAAGCACCGGCUAACUCCGUGCCAGCAGCCGCGGUAAUACGGAGGGUGCAAGCGUUGUUCGGAAUUAUUGGGCGUAAAGGGCGUGUAGGCGGGUAUGCAGGUCAGAUGUGAAAUCCCUCGGCUCAACCGAGGAAGUGCAUUUGAAACCGUAUAUCUUGAGUACGAGAGAGGCAGAUGGAAUUCCCAGUGUAGAGGUGAAAUUCAUAGAUAUUGGGAAGAACACCGGUGGCGAAAGCGGUCUGCUGGCUCGAUACUGACGCUGAGACGCGAAAGCGUGGGGAGCAAACAGGAUUAGAUACCCUGGUAGUCCACGCCGUAAACGAUGUGCACUAGGUGUUGGGGGUAAUUAAACCUUCAGUGCCGCAGCUAACGCAUUAA